RNAcentral lists this long non-coding RNA (3172 nucleotides) under Nicotiana benthamiana. RNAcentral's name for it is "long non-coding RNA (NBEN_LNC036414)". Lineage: Eukaryota; Viridiplantae; Streptophyta; Magnoliopsida; Solanales; Solanaceae. The record is from RNAcentral.
CACUCCCCAUCUCCCUCAUCAAGAGAUCCCUCAAACCUUUACACCGCCCUUCCAUCCUCUCCAGAGUUCCCGGCGCUGCCGCCUCUAAUCACCCCCAAAUCCAACACUCCAAAAUCAUCACACCCUCCCCUUUCUCGAUCCCUAAUCAAUUUCCCUCGAAUCACCCUAGCAUUCUUCGAAUCUCGAAUCUGAAUUCAAACCCCUAAAAGCCCAAAAUGCCUACUCUCGAAGAGGUGGCAUGCAAGGUCCAAGCCCCGAGUUUCUUAAGUGUUCAACGCUGGUUUAUCACAAAAUAAUGAUGUUUGCUUGUUCUUGACAAAGAACAAGUGAUUGGCAUUAUUUUGGGUUACAUCUGUGUGUCAAUAUCGAUUUCGAACCUAUUCGGUGAGUUUCCUUCAUUUUUCUUUUCAUUUUUGUGUUAUUUCACCUCUUAUACCUCUUCAUUUCUUCUCCAUUUCUUUGGUUAGAUUUCUUUACUUUGGCUGAAACUCGACCAAGUUUCUGAACCAAGAUUGAUUUGUGUUUGUUUGUUCCAUUUGCUUUUCUUUUCACAUCGUUAAAGAUUUUCUCUUAUUCUUGUUGGUCUGCUCAAUGGCCUGUUUAGUUUUUAUUAGUGCCAUGCUUAAACCCCUGAUUUUGCCUUUUAUUUCAGUAUCAUAGUUUAAGUUAGUUAGGUCAUUUUGAAUUAAUAACCUAGUUAAUUCUAUGUCUAUUUGUGUUAUUAAUCAUUCACUUAGUCUAGAUUUUUAAUUUUGAGAUUGUUUAAGUGUUUGUUUUCUUCUGCCUUCCAUGUUAUUACAAAAUGUAGACCCAUUUGCAAAAAGCAACCAGUUUAUUUUGGUUUAAGCUAUUGGGUCAACUUGACCCUAGUAUGGGGUAAAAACAGAGGGUUUAAGGGAUAGUUUAGGAAUUUUAGGUUAGGGAAUCUUUAAUAACUAAAUGGAGAAGCUUCAUAUAAGGUGGGUUUGGGGCAAUUUGAAAAGUUUAAUUUGAACUUAAGGAUUAAACAAAAAAAUAGAAAUUCCAAAAGGGUAAAAUAACAAAUCUAUAAUAUUUUUUGUUGCCCUAAGGCUUGCCUAUAAAGGCAUAGUUUCUUCACUUACAAGUCAGAAAUUCAGAGAUGAAAAACAGUGAAAAGUUAGAAAAUGGCUAGGUCUCUUUCAAGCUCUAAAACACUGAAUUUUUUUUGAAAAAUUUGGUUUCUGGUUUUUCCUUCCUUUUGGUUCAUUAGAAUUUCUGAAUGUUCUAAAUCAAAUAGCUAGGUUUUGUUUGGUAUUGCCGUUUGAAAAAUAGUUUGAGUUUGGGGUUUAAAGAGGCUUGGUUUGAGUUGUUGUUUCUUUACUCUUACAUUGCUACGUUUUGAUGUUGCUGCUUCCCCCUGAUCUCAAGUUUUGUUUCUGGUUUAUUUUGCUAUAUUUGGGUACACGUUUCUGAAUCCUACUUAAUGUGAGACUCAAUUUGAAGGAUGGAAUGGAAAAUGGAGUUUAAAGUAUAGUAUCGGCUUUAUUUAUGAUUCAGUUGUAUUCCAUUGUAUUUUAUUGCUUGAUUUACUUUAUCUUCUAGCUGAUUUUCGGGUUUUGAUAGUUGGACUUAUAUCAUUGUAUUUAACUUUAGGAAUUAUAGAAUUACUGCAGUAAAAUGUUCAGUCGAGUUACACCCUUGAGACUAGCUGAUUUCUGCAAUUUACUUUAGUGCCUAUUAUGUGUAUAUAUGACCAUUUUGUUGUUAAUUCUCUUUGAGUUUUGAAAGUUUCAAGUAGUUACUCUAAUUUAGAUGAUUGGUUUGUUAAAAGGACUGGAACAUUGUUGAAUAUGAGGACUCUUGGUUUUUCCCAUAUGUAAGUAUGAAGAAAAUAGAUAUAGGAUUAGAACUUUUACUUGAUUUGCUGAUUGAUACAUGGGAUUCGAUAGAGAAUUGCCUAUUGGAUCCAUGAUACCAGGCAUAUGCAUCUGCUUUGAAAUCCAUCAAGUAUUUUGGUGAAAGCCGAAGUAGAAGAUGGUUAUGUUUUGACAGCAAUACCAAUAGAGUUAUUGGUUAUAAUACUCUGUGGUAAUUUCACCGAAGUGUUUUAGUUUCAGUGAUGUUUCGUAAUGAUUUUGAUUUUUCAAAGUCUAUGUGGUUUGAGUGUUCUUGAUCAUGAAGGUUUUAGUUUUUUAUUGAAAACGAAGGCGGCAUGCUCUUGUAUUUUUGUUUAUUAUGAAAGCAUGUUUUGUGUAAAUUUGAAAUGGUUAAGUGUAGUUUGUGUGGUUUAAAUUUGGGGUGUUAACGGAUGAAAUAAGCUGCAUACGAGCUAUUACCAAUUAGAAAUUGUAUCUUCGUUUUAGAAUAGGCUUUGUACCUUCUCAAGGAUUUUCAGUAUUUGUGCAAACUUUCGAUAUUUCAUAAAAAUUAAGUUUGCCUUAAGUCUUAUUGUUGAAUCAUGAACUGGGCUAUUACAUUGGCCCAGUUGUGCCAAAAUUCUCCCCGGCGAUUUAUAUUCUCGAUAUGGGUCUUAUGUUGAGCUUCGUUGUUGCCUUCACACUUGUUAUGGAAUUGGUGAGUAUCAACUUGUUCCAGCCGACUUAUGCUCCUUGUAAUAACCAAAUGCCUAUUUUACUUUGGGUCAACCAAUUAGCUACUAAAGUUUAGUUCAAACACUUGAUCAAAAUGAAUUAGAAAUCUCCUUGGCCUUUCAAUAAAUUAGUUAGAUCCUUAAAUAAUUUGAGGCAUGCCAUGUCAAAUAAAAUCUCAAAAUGCAUGGCCAUCACUUAAUUAAUUUUCACUCUUUCGAAGUAGAGGCGUGCCAUUUGUGUAAUUUUCCAAGGCCCUCGCAAACUUGAAAGCGCGUAAUUUUAUAUAAAUUAAUUUUCUUAAACCCCGGUGUGCUCAUGUGACCCAACUCCCAUUCAUGUAGCGGGGUUAAAGGCAUGUUCUAAUUAGCGUUGAAAAUUCCUAAAAAAUUAUUUAAAGGCUGUUAAUAAAUUAAAAUAUAUCAUAGGCUAAAAAAUGUAUCAAAGUUAGAUAAUAGACCAAUUAUAAUAGUUUAAGCGACCAUGCUAGAACCAUGGAAUUCGGGAAUGCCUAACACCUUCUCUCGGGUUAACAAAAUUCCUUAUUCAAAAUUUUUGGUUCGUAGACUUCUAAAAGAAAGUUGAAUUUUUUUGAUUUGGGAUUUAAAAUUAAACCGGUGACU